AGUUUGAUCAUGGCUCAGGAUGAACGCUAGCGGCAGGCCUAAUACAUGCAAGUCGAACGCUCAGUAGCAAUACUGGGAGUGGCGCACGGGUGCGUAACGCGUACACAAUCUACCUCUAAGCGGGGGACACCUCCGGGAAACGGGAUUAAUACCGCAUAAUAUGCCGAGGUCGCAUGACUUUGGUAUUAACGCAGCAAUGCACUUAGAGAUGAGUGUGCGUCCCAUUAGGUAGUUGGUGAGGUAACGGCUCACCAAGCCUAUGAUGGGUAGCCGGUCUGAGAGGAUGGUCGGCCACACGGGCACUGAGACACGGGCCCGACUCCUACGGGAGGCAGCAGUAAGGAAUAUUGGUCAAUGGUGGAAACACUGAACCAGCCAUGCCGCGUGGAGGAAUAAGGUCCUACGGAUUGUAAACUCCUUUUGACGAGGAAGAAAGUGUUAGAUUUAUCUAAUUUUGACGGUACUCGUAGAAUAAGCACCGGCUAACUCCGUG
RNAcentral lists this ribosomal RNA (493 nucleotides) under uncultured bacterium. RNAcentral describes it as "bacterial SSU rRNA". It matches the Rfam family "Bacterial small subunit ribosomal RNA", at positions 10 to 507 of the family's 1533-position model. The record is from RNAcentral.